UGAUCCUGGCUCAGAGUGAACGCUGGCGGCGUGCUUAACACAUGCAAGUCGAACGAGAACGGGUUAUAGCUUGCUAUAACUGUCAGCUAAGUGGCGCACGGGUGAGUAAUGUAUAGAUAACGUGCCUCUUACAAGGGAAUAACAGUUGGAAACGACUGCUAAUGCCCUAUAUGCCUUUAUGUCAUAAGACAGCAAGGGAAAGUUUUUUCGGUAAGAGAUCGGUCUGUAUGGUAUCAGCUAGUUGGUAAGGUAAUGGCUCACCAAGGCAAUGACGCCUAACUGGUUUGAGAGGAUGAUCAGUCACACUGGAACUGA
RNAcentral lists this ribosomal RNA (315 nucleotides) under uncultured bacterium. RNAcentral's name for it is "bacterial SSU rRNA". It matches the Rfam family "Bacterial small subunit ribosomal RNA", at positions 14 to 322 of the family's 1533-position model. The record is from RNAcentral.